CUUAAAUCGAUGGUUUGCUUCUGGAUAACAAGGCAGACGUGUGUUGUGGUGAGACGGUAUUUCCUCCCAUACUUCUGAGUGCAUCCGUGCGAAGAAACAGAGACGGGAAUGAUGGCUUAAUAAGAGAGAAAGAGGAAGGUCUCGACACACAGCCUGAAAAAGAUGCUCUGAGCUCCACGGAUGUGUUGGUAAGAGCUGAAACAUACGGCUGCCGAGAACCGCCACUGCCGCAAAUAGAAGAAAAAAAAAAGCAUAAAAGAAGUCACAACGGAAGUUAUCGAUGCAAAAAAAAAAAAAAAAAGCAAACAAAGCCCACCGCAAAUAGAAAAAGAAAAAGUGCAGAUAAAAAAAAAGCCACAAGCCUAACGAUGCCAAUAAAAGUGGAGAUGCAAGCAAAAGAGGUUAGAGCAAAGACGUUAGUGGAAAGAUUAUUGUUUAAUUUGGCUUUGUAAACUUUUCAAUGUGUCAUUUGGUUAGGCCAUGUAGCGCCUGAGUCUGGUGUAAUGUUAGCUUCAGUUCAACUUCAUUUCAGCUUAGGCACAUCAUGGCUGGACCAAAUGACACAUUAAAAAGUUUACAAGGCAAAAUUCAACAAUAACCUUUCCACUUACUUCUUUGCUCAUCUUCUUGCCGUCGUCUUCUGUGCCUAGAUUGUAAGACACCGGUGCUUCAUCAUUAUUGGUCCCCGGCAGCUCACUUCCGUCGUGGCUUUUUUUUUGUUUGUUUUUUUUUUUUUGCAUCCUUUUAUUUUCGCAGUAAGUAACUUUUUUUUCUUUAUGCAUCGCUUAUUUUUUGUGUGUCAUUAACUUCCGUUGCACCAUUUCUUCCAUAGUGACUUCUUUUAUUAUAUAUUUUUUUUGCAUUCUUUUUUAUUUGCAGCAGUGGCGGUCCUCAGCCACCGUAACCGUAUAAACAAGAUGAAGCUCUGUAAUUAGAAAAGUUUCCAUAUAAUUGCAUGUAAACCUUCGAGCUCUCUCGUAACAGACACUUAAAGAAGAGCCCUUACUCUUCAAUAUGGGUCAACAAACCAGGAUUUUGACUAGGAUGCACAUGCAUGAAACAGCCUGACUUAAACCAAACUUUAAAUGGGCCAAAGAGUAAAAAUGAGUCAAAAAUACUCACUGAAAAUAAUAGGGUAAUGUUUUGAGAGUUUUUGCAUAUCUUCACCGACUUUCAGGGCUCACAGAGAAAACUCUUACACAGGACUCCAGGAGAACCCAAUAUUUCCCAAGUUUCUUCACAAAUUAAUAUUUAACCAGCAUCAUAUUCAGAGGAGCCUCGAAUAUUUCGACAUCCUUCUUCAUACUCUAUUUUAGCUCUGUUUGCAAAAACUUGAUAGGUGAAAGUUAUGCUCCUACAAGCCUUUAAAACUGUCUAAAGAAAGCAACCUUACUGUAGAAGAAAAUUGUCACUUUCUCAUACAUUUCACUUCUACAAAAAGAAAUCGUACAUUUUUAAAAUUGUAGAGGUGUGCCUUCAUUAACCUUUUAAUAAAGAAUACAUAGAUGGCUUUAUGAGGAGAAACACAGGGUCAAAGUAAAAUGUGAUUAAACUGACAUGAGAGGAAUCAGUGUAACAUUUUUUUAUAAUUUAAGUACUUGAAUAUUUUGCUGAAGUUAUACAACCUAGCAUCAAAAAUACGUUAAUGAAAAGUUAUAAUCACCCAUGUGUCCUGAUAUUUGAGAAAAGCUGAAAAGAGUGUCCUUUUGGAUGCUCCUUUAGUAAAUAGAAAAAAAUACAAAAUGCCCACUCUGGUGCCCUUUCUAAGGAAAAUGCUUGAAACACUGCUCUUGAAGCCAAUAGAUCAAAAAUGAAACAUAACAGAGAGUCCUCUGGAUGGUCUCCCAGUGUAUAAAUCAUUAAAAAAAACUGUCCUGAGGGUGCCCCUCCAAAUAGAAUGUAGUGAAAAGUAUCCUCUGGAUGCUCCUCCAGUAAAAUUAACCUGAAUAACUACUUUCUGAAUGCCCUUCCAGUGGAUUAACACUGAAUUUCCUUACAGGGAUUGUUACGUGUGGCACUCUCUUGGUGCGAGGUUUGGUGGCUGCACCUCUUCUUUCUUUUUGGUCAAAUGAUUAACCUAUUCAUUUUUCCCAGGUUGCUCAUAUAUUUAACUCGUUGAUCUUCCCCAGGUUGAGCUGCUGGGUUUUGUUAUUUUAGUUUAGAUGUAGGUUGCCGGUAGCCCUAUUUUCGGUUCUUUCUUUUCUGAUUAAAUAGUUAGUUCUUUUUGGUUAUGUUAUGAAUCGAACAAAGGCCGGGAUCCAAAAAUGCAAUGGCAAAUGCCCAAAUUUAUUGACAAUAAACAAUAGAACAAAAAAUCACCUUUGCUCAAGGGGAAAAUUCUCUGGAAAGUAACAAAAAAACUCACAAACGAACACUGAGAAGCAAGCUGGAUACACAGGCAGGAGAUCAGGGAGCUCGGCGUGGCAAGACACGUGUGACAUGACUGGGAAAUCAUCCAGCACUGAGUCGACAGAGGAGCUGGCAUAUAAAGCCAGGUAAAUGACAACAACGAGAAUCAGGUGCGUGCAAUCAGUCCGGGCCAGCCCUGCCUCCCGCCGUGCCUCCAGCACUGCAGAGAGAGAGAGAGAGAGAGGGAGAACACACACAAAGGAGAGGAACACAGGAAACCCAACUGCUGUAUAAACUCAAAACCUCACAAGUUAGGUAGUUUUAGUUAGGGGUGGUGACUAGUCCUAUGGCCCAUUGUGAAGCUAGCCAUGUUCACCACCCCUUUUUGUUACUUUUGGCCGGCGCCUAUAGCCUUUUUGUUUCAUUGCUUUAUUUUUGAAUUAUUAAUUACUGCUUAUUUUAAUAAAAUUAAGAUUUUUUUGUUGAUGUUGACAGUCUCAGCCUGUCCUUUGCAUAUGUUACUGGUCUCUUUUACCAGCCCUAUUUCUGCUCUUGGUGGUGUAAAUUAAUUAUUUCAAGAGGUCGUAACAGGGAUCAAUAAAGUUCUUCUUCUUCUUCUUCUGCUUUUUCUUUGUCUUCUUCUUUGUUUUCUUCUUUGUCGUCUCCUUUUUUUCUUCUCUGUCAUCAUCUUCUUUGUCAUCUUCUUUUUUGUUGUCUUCUUUUUCAUUGUCUUCUUCUACGUCGUCUUCUUCAUUGUCUUUUUUUUUUCUUUUCUUCUUUAUCGUCUACUUCUUUUUCAUCUUCUUUUUCGUCAUCAUCUUCGUCAUCUUCUUCUUUGUCGUCUUCUUCUUCUUCGUCCUCUUCUUCUUUUUCUUUGUCUUCUUCUUCAUUGUCUUCGUCUUCUUCGUCUUCAUCUUCGUCUUCUUAAGCUCAAAAUGUCCUGGACCCCCACACCCUUGGAGUUGGAAUUAACUCCACACCAUGGAUAUCAGCAAUGUCAAAAUUAAUUCCAUUUCCUAUUUGUCCAAAGAAGACUUUUACUGGCUCAUUACUUCUGACAAGCCAGGGUUAGAUCUGUUUUACAACAACAUGGUGAUCUCAGAAUAUCAGGGAGAACAGAAAAGUAAAGAGCAACAAAAAAGAUCUUAGAAAUGUUGAUGGAGGUGGACUUUUUUUUUUUCACAACGCUCUGUUCACAGAUGCCACAUGGCUUGUAUCGGCUGCCCUUUUUAUUUAUUUUUGCCUCUUUUUAUUCAUUAAUAAACAAAAAAAAAAAAAAAAAACAUAAACGACCUAGAAGACUGUACUGUUGAGGCUAAAAUCCUUUAUCAGACAAGAAUGAGACAACAUUUUACUUUUAUAGUUUGCUAUUAUUCACAGAGUGGUGUUAAGAGAGGAGGCGAUGCAACACAAUAAUAAACACUCCUCUUUGCCAUAUUUUCUUUAUAUGUGUGGCUGGCAUCAGAUUUGAAAUAACAAUUUACAAAAAAACAUUGUCAUAUAUGCACUACUUUAGAAUAAUAUAGGGUUUAAAUGUUUUGAAAACCAUCAAAAUCUAUUUUAUUUGCAAGGUGACUCAACUUCUUUGAGAAUGUAGACUUUGUCCGCAUUCAAACUAAAAUGGAUUUAAAGCAGCUAAAGGACCAUGUUAUUGUUGAUUUUCUUGCAUGUUUGUGUGACUAGAAGCUCUAAAAGAGUAAAAAGAAGCCUAGAAAAUGUCCCUUUUUCUUUGCAGAGAGGUGUGAUAUAUGAAAACUGAACAACCAGCACAUUGUCUUAUUCUCCACCAAUAGGUCAUAUUCGCAGCCAUCAACCACUGCACCAUUUGUCCCUCUCUGGAGCCGUUUUAUUAAAGUCAAGCUUCCUGCCAAGUGAAGAGCUCCCGCCUGCUCUGAGACAAAUGACUUCUCCCUCUCUGUCGCAUCAAUGAGGCAGAGCGCUGCGUAAAACUGAGCCAUCAAACAGAGCACAGGGAACAAAUGUGCAGCCAAACAUUUUGAACAACUCUCUCAUUUAGCACUGUUUUUUCUAAAAAGGGGUUUUAGACUUACACAUGAGUUGGCAUGGCUGCUGGGUAAGAUGGGAUGGAAAUUGAGCCGGCAGUCUGCCUUCAUUUGUUUAAUCAUCGAUCCGGCACGUCCUAAUCAGCAAGGUGCCAAGCUGAAGGCAAGAAGCAGCAAAUAUAACAAAUGGUUAAUGACAGGGCCUAAUUGUUAAGGUCCAAAACAGGCUUGAAACAAAUCCUUAACUCAGCACAUGCUCAGUGAACAGCAAGCAGUAUUUUCCAUUAAAACUCACAGGCUAAUGUCUACAGAUCAACAAGUACUGUUUCGUUCAUUAUCAGCGGCAGUACAAAGCUCAUUCUCUAAAUGGGAGUGAAAGAAGAGGCUUUGAUGUGCAGGGUUUAAUACUGAUGAUCAAGCAGCAGUGUCUCCCACCGGGAUACAGCCCACCUCCGACACUGUCAGGUCAGAGUCAGCACUGCCUGUACUCUUACUGUACGUCUAUUCAAUAUUCAUCUCCUAUCCCAGCCAUAAAAAAGUGCUGCAGCAGCGUAUGAUCAGCCAUGUUUCCUCUUAUUCUCACCAGGUGCCUGCCACUUAGUCUGCUUUAACACUAAGAAACUUAAAGUUACAUGUCAGUCAGCUUUACUGAGCUUCUAACUGCACGAAACAGAUUCCCCCAACAGAAAACCCCAACAGCUUCAUUUUUUACAAACCCAUUUAGCCUCACUGACAUCAAGUAUACUGCUAGAGGGAGGCAAGUACACUAACUCUUUACACAGAUAUCGAUAUCCAGAUGCUAACGCACUUCUAUUUUACCACAGUGAAGACUCAGGUAAAACUAGAAUUUACUUUGCUGAAUUAAACAACAGACUUUUUCACGUAGUCACAUUUUAUAAAUGUUCCAUGUCUCAACCUCACAUCAUGUUUGGUAUAAACAUAUUUUAUCAAAAAUUAUUAUGAUUCUAAUAAAUAUAAGAAAACUGAUAUACAGCUGCAGAAUAGUGUCAUGCAAAAUUUCUUGAUCUGAUCAAAAAAGAAGCGCAGAAGAAGAGUUGUAUUUACGCCUGUGCUGUCAACAAACCAACAAACACCCUGGUGGUUCACUCCAUCCAAUUCAAGAGUUUUCCCCCUGUUAAAUAUUGUCACUAGAUGGCACCCUUGUGUGUUUAUUUUACUGUUCCGCCAAAGGUAGCACUGAGCGUGCAGAUGUGACAUCAUUACGCUGUAUGCACGCCUUGUUAUGUUAUCAGAGGAGCAGACACAGCACAUGUGGUUGUGUUUUAUGUCAGAGUGUUAAUAAUGAAAUCUCCUGUACUGGCCACAAUAAAUUAACCAAAGGCUAAAGAGUGAAGAUCGAGUCAGAUAAAAGAGUCACGAUGGGAAUAAGUGUUUACAUGGACAUGUUUCAGAAUAAUAACCGGCAUAAACCACCCCUCUCAAUUGAAAUACAAUUUCUUCCUGAUUGAGCCGAAUUGGAUCAAAAUCUUCCGAUCGACAUGUUUACAUGUCGCAUUUUUAUUCCGAUCGGGCAUUUAUUCCGAUUAUUGUGCCCAUGUAAACGCAGCUAAUGGCAAUGUUUCGCAUGGACCAGUCAGGCCAAACUGAGCAGAAAUUAUCUACCCUUCUGAGGAUCAUCUCAAGUGUUCUUCCCUGCUCUUACAGUGCUAACAGACCAAAUACGACCACAAACAUCAAGAAAUGCCUGCCCACUUCUACCCAUCCUCCUAGUAACAUUUGUACUUUUCAACUUUGGACCAAAGCCUGGAGUGGAAACUCUAGUGCAUGCGCAAAAUGCUUAGGUCAGUUCUGUUGACAGAGGUAGUGAUAAUGUGGUAAUGUGGGCGCUUUUACACAAUGCAGACGCUUGGCAUAAAACUGUCAAGUCGUGCCUGUUGUAAAAUAAUGAUGACUCUCGCGCAGCACACAAAAAACUUUAUGUGGUGUGCGAAAUGGGGCCCAAUAUGUCCUCUUUUGCAAAAUGAGCAGGUCCUAAACUUUCUCUGUGAAACAUUAUCAAAAGAGACCCAGUAUUGUUGAGGAGGCAUUUGGUUGUACUUGAGAAGCAUAGUGCCAAACCAGGCUGAUUAAAGAACAGCCAUGAAGUAGUCAGGUUGUGGUAAAGAGAGGCAGAGACGAAUGGAGAGAUAAACAGAGACAAACGAACAGACAAACUCUUAUUCUUGGUUUAUUUCCACUCUCCCUGAUGGCUUUGCUCUGGUAUGUCCUGCUGUAAUGUGUGAUGCAUCAUAGCACACAGUUGAAAGCUAAACUGCUCCUACUUUGCACCAGCAUUCAGAGUGUUCAGAGCACAGGGUCAGAGAUACGCAUGCCUGAGCCGGCAGGCCAAGGUGGACUCCAGGGUCUGGUGUAGUAAAGGGCUGAAAUCCAUAAUGAUCAGUCUCUCAGGCUCACUGAAUAAUGCAAAGCUUUAUAAUAGAAGCCACUCUCUAAUGGCAGAGAUAGAUAAGAACAAUUUCACACACUGGCAGCAAACCGCUUGCUUAUUUAUCCAGCAUCUGCAAUAGCAGAGAGAGAUGAUGGGGAGGGGGGUACAAACAAAACAAGAGAGGCAAAGGCUGAAAAGUGCAAUACUUUUUCACAUUCGCUGCUACCACAGAAUAUAAAAAAACAGACUUUAUCCCCCUUUUCUUUGAUCUCAAUCCUCUGUUGUUCUCGUUUUACAGCUCAAGGGAUCCGCAGUUUUAAUUGUAAAACCUAUUGACUUUCUGUCUUUGUUUGCUCUGUCCAGGUUUUGCACAAAGUAAGCUUUGCUUUGCUUCUGUACACCCUUCACUGGAUCACUUCUGACUGCUGAGAAUAAAGAUGUGCU
RNAcentral lists this long non-coding RNA (7185 nucleotides) under Xyrichtys novacula (pearly razorfish). Lineage: Eukaryota; Metazoa; Chordata; Actinopteri; Labriformes; Labridae. The record is from RNAcentral.